GAACGGACCCUUCGGGGUUAGUGGCGGACGGGUGAGUAACACGUGGGAACGUGCCUUUAGGUUCGGAAUAGCUCCUGGAAACGGGUGGUAAUGCCGAAUGUGCCCUUCGGGGGAAAGAUUUAUCGCCUUUAGAGCGGCCCGCGUCUGAUUAGCUAGUUGGUGAGGUAAUGGCUCACCAAGGCGACGAUCAGUAGCUGGUCUGAGAGGAUGACCAGCCACAUUGGGACUGAGACACGGCCCAAACUCCUACGGGAGGCAGCAGUGGGGAAUCUUGCGCAAUGGGCGGAAGCCUGACGCAGCCAUGCCGCGUGAAUGAUGAAGGUCUUAGGAUUGUAAAAUUCUUUCACCGGGGACGAUAAUGACGGUACCCGGAGAAGAAGCCCCGGCUAACUUCGUGCCAGCAGCCGCGGUAAUACGAAGGGGGCUAGCGUUGCUCGGAAUUACUGGGCGUAAAGGGCGCGUAGGCGGAUCGUUAAGUCAGAGGUGAAAUCCCGGAGCUCAACUUCGGAACUGCCUUUGAUACUGGCGAUCUUGAGUGUGAGAGAGGUAUGUGGAACUCCGAGUGUAGAGGUGAAAUUCGUAGAUAUUCGGAAGAACACCAGUGGCGAAGGCGACAUACUGGCUCAUUACUGACGCUGAGGCGCGAAAGCGUGGGGAGCAAACAGGAUUAGAUACCCUGGUAGUCCACGCCGUAAACGAUGAUUGCUAGUUGUCGGGCUGCAUGCAGUUCGGUGACGCAGCUAACGCAUUAAGCAAUCCGCCUGGGGAGUACGGUCGC
RNAcentral lists this ribosomal RNA (778 nucleotides) under uncultured Brevundimonas sp. RNAcentral describes it as "bacterial SSU rRNA". It matches the Rfam family "Bacterial small subunit ribosomal RNA", at positions 64 to 889 of the family's 1533-position model. The record is from RNAcentral. Lineage: Bacteria; Pseudomonadati; Pseudomonadota; Alphaproteobacteria; Caulobacterales; Caulobacteraceae.